UACGAAGGGAGCUAGCGUUGUUCGGAAUCACUGGGCGUAAAGCGCACGUAGGCGGAUGUGUCAGUCAGGGGUGAAAUCCCGGAGCUCAACUUCGGAACUGCCUUUGAUACAGCACGUCUUGAGUCCGAUAGAGGUGGGUGGAAUUCCUAGUGUAGAGGUGAAAUUCGUAGAUAUUAGGAAGGACACCAGUGGCGAAGGCGGCUCACUGGCCCGGUACUGACGCUGAGGUGCGAAAGCGUGGGGAGCAAACAGG
Molecule: ribosomal RNA, 253 nt
Filed under: uncultured bacterium
Lineage: Bacteria
Description: partial 16S ribosomal RNA
Rfam family: Bacterial small subunit ribosomal RNA
Source: RNAcentral